RNAcentral lists this small RNA (27 nucleotides) under Bombyx mori (domestic silkworm). Its description in RNAcentral is "ovarian small RNA-21993". Lineage: Eukaryota; Metazoa; Arthropoda; Insecta; Lepidoptera; Bombycidae. The record is from RNAcentral.
UAGAGACACAGCCACUAGCACAGGCAG